This 83-nucleotide microRNA precursor is filed under the name Myotis lucifugus (little brown bat). Its description in RNAcentral is "miRNA (ENSMLUG00000021749.1)". The record is from RNAcentral. Lineage: Eukaryota; Metazoa; Chordata; Mammalia; Chiroptera; Vespertilionidae.
AGGGUGACCAAGUGUCCUGGUUUGUCUGGGACUGAGGGGUUUCCCAGGAUGCGGGACUUUCUAAAGCUAGAACCAGGAAAGUC